RNAcentral lists this long non-coding RNA (1109 nucleotides) under Equus caballus (horse). RNAcentral describes it as "lncRNA (ENSECAG00000039626.3)". The record is from RNAcentral. Lineage: Eukaryota; Metazoa; Chordata; Mammalia; Perissodactyla; Equidae.
AAGGGUGCAGUAGGAUGCUGUCUCUCUUCAUGACAGCUGUGUCCUCAGCUGAGAAAACCUCAAAGUUGAGUGUGACAACACGGGGGCCACUGAAAUCAUCUGAAGGCUAGUUCAUUCACAACUCUAUAGAUUGUGCUGGAUGCCUUCACCUCUAGACCCAGUUAGCUCUUCAGUAAUAUGAGUUCAUUAUCAUCUGAGACUGCAUCCUUGCGAUUUUCUUUGCCUUUACCUUACGGCUGUAAGAGGGCUACCACAUCUCCACAGGUCAAGUCAGCAUUCAAGGAGCAGAAUAUGUACCUGAAUAAUGGUCCUUUACAAGCCAGAAAUCCAACUGAGCCCAUGCAAAAACAUCAAGGCAAGAGCAAGAACUUCAAAAUGAACUACAUGCUUAAUCUUAGAUAGUAUAAUAUUAAUUGAAAGGCAUUUAGUGAUAGACUUGUAUGCUAACAAACUGCACUAGGUUUAACAGGAAUCAUUUCGAGAGGAUAAAGUCGUGGUAGAAAUCUAAAUUGAUUGCUUACCAUUGAUUACAUUAGUCAAAAGCUAAUGUCACUAUCUGUCAGGUAUGAUUAAAGCAAAAAGGAAGAAAGGUGGAAUGGAGAGCAAAUCAACAGAAUGGUAGAAUAGGGGAAAGUAAACACUUUCCAUCAAUUUUGGAAACAAAAGACAAAAUGAUCUAUUUGAGAAAAUCAAAGAGACAAAACCAACUCAGACUUUAUUUCAACUCUUAUUUGUCCUACAUGCUCAUAUUUCAAACUCAGACGUAUACCAGGAAAGAAUGAGAUCCUGGAUGAUGUGACGGGGAGAAGAUAUGGUUCAAGUAUCAGAGAUGGCAUUCAUCACCUGUCAUAAUCUGAAUGGCCCAUGAUUCAAAUUACUUUUAUUAGGCCACUCUCCUGGACAUGUUUCUUGUAUAAUAAUUCAAAAAUUAAUAUUCAUCCUGAAACGUGCUGAAUGAUUUCACAUAUUUUUGGCCAAAAUGCAAGCCAUUUUAUGAAGGAGCGUACUAUACUGCAAAAACUUGAAGACAAGAGAUCUUGGAUUCUAAUUGAUUUUCUCUCUAGACUAAAACAUGUGUGUGGCUUUGGGCAACUUCAGGCUAUCUGGGA